RNAcentral lists this ribosomal RNA (253 nucleotides) under uncultured bacterium. RNAcentral describes it as "partial 16S ribosomal RNA". It matches the Rfam family "Bacterial small subunit ribosomal RNA", at positions 524 to 776 of the family's 1533-position model. The record is from RNAcentral.
UACGAAGGGGACUAGCGUUGUUCGGAAUCACUGGGCGUAAAGCGCACGUAGGCGGAUUUGUAAGUCAGGGGUGAAAUCCCGGGGCUCAACCUCGGAACUGCCUUUGAUACUGCGAAUCUAGAGUCCGAUAGAGGUGGGUGGAAUUCCUAGUGUAGAGGUGAAAUUCGUAGAUAUUAGGAAGAACACCGGUGGCGAAGGCGGCCCACUGGAUCGGUACUGACGCUGAGGUGCGAAAGCGUGGGGAGCAAACAGG